CAGUCGCCGCGGUAAUACGGAGGGGGCUAGCGUUGUUCGGAAUUACUGGGCGUAAAGCGCACGUAGGCGGCUUUGUAAGUUAGAGGUGAAAGCCUGGGGCUCAACUCCAGAAUUGCCUUUAAGACUGCAUCGCUUGAACGUCGGAGAGGUGAGUGGAAUUCCGAGUGUAGAGGUGAAAUUCGUAGAUAUUCGCAAGAGCACCAGUGGCGAAGGCGGCCAACUGGUCCAUUACUGACGCUGAGGUGCGAAAGCGUGGGGAGCAAACAGGAUUAGAUACCCGUGUAGUCCCUGUCUCUUAUAC
Molecule: ribosomal RNA, 301 nt
Filed under: uncultured bacterium
Lineage: Bacteria
Description: partial 16S ribosomal RNA
Rfam family: Bacterial small subunit ribosomal RNA
Source: RNAcentral